UUAAAUUGAAGAGUUUGAUCAUGGCUCAGAUUGAACGCUGGCGGCAGGCCUAACACAUGCAAGUCGAACGGUAACAGGAAGCAGCUUGCUGCUUUGCUGACGAGUGGCGGACGGGUGAGUAAUGUCUGGGAAACUGCCUGAUGGAGGGGGGUAACUACUGGAAACGGUAGCUAAUACCGCAUAACGUCGCAAGACCAAAGAGGGGGACCUUCGGGCCUCUUGCCAUCGGAUGUGCCCAGAUGGGAUUAGCUAGUAGGUGGGGUAACGGC
This 269-nucleotide ribosomal RNA is filed under the name Escherichia coli. RNAcentral's name for it is "partial 16S ribosomal RNA". It matches the Rfam family "Bacterial small subunit ribosomal RNA", at positions 1 to 264 of the family's 1533-position model. The record is from RNAcentral. Lineage: Bacteria; Pseudomonadati; Pseudomonadota; Gammaproteobacteria; Enterobacterales; Enterobacteriaceae.